RNAcentral lists this long non-coding RNA (254 nucleotides) under Cricetulus griseus (Chinese hamster). RNAcentral's name for it is "lncRNA (ENSCGRG00015035779.1)". Lineage: Eukaryota; Metazoa; Chordata; Mammalia; Rodentia; Cricetidae. The record is from RNAcentral.
UGGGAACGGGAAAAGGCGGACCACGUGACACCUCGGGCUUGUGGCGCUCCGGGCUUGCUAGGCUCACUCCUAACUUGCCUCGGCGAGUGUCACUGAGUGUUGCCUGUUUGGACUCUGAACUAGACAGUUCUAGAUCUGAGACUCACUGUGUAGCACAGAUUGGCCUCAGAACUGUACCUCAAAACCAGGAACCUUAUGCUGCUGCCUUCUGAGGUCUGAGGUUAUAGGAGUGUAUCAUCACUCCUGACUUGGAG